Molecule: ribosomal RNA, 1145 nt
Filed under: Acizzia uncatoides
Lineage: Eukaryota; Metazoa; Arthropoda; Insecta; Hemiptera; Psyllidae
Description: 16S ribosomal RNA
Source: RNAcentral
AAUUAGUUUAAUAAACAAGCAAAGUGUGUAAUUUUUUAAUUAUUAAUUGUAGAGGGGACUAUAAUUUAUAAUUACAAGAAGACUAUUUUGUUGUACCUUUUGUAUCAGGGUUAAUUUAAGCUAAGUUCUUAAGAACUUUCCUCGAAGAGGAAAGAUUUAAGUGAAUAAAAGUGUAUUUGUUUAAUAAAAAAAUCUUAAUAUUUGCUUAGAUUUGAUAAGAAAAUCGAUUUUCUAUUUCUAGUUACUUUAAUUUUGAUUAAGUCAAUGAUUUUAAAGCAUAAAUUGUUUUUAAAAUGAAAUUUUUUAAAGGAUAAUCUUUGAGAAAGUAUUAUAGUUAAAGAUGUUUAUCUAAAAAUUAAAUUUAAAAUUUGUUAAUUUGUUUAUGUAAAAAUUAAUUAGAUUAUAAUUAAUAUUUUAAUAUCUAGCUUUAGAGGGGAGCUAAAGUUAUAUAAUAAAAUAUUAUAUUUAUAAUAAUAAUGAUUAAAUUAGUAGAACAAAAAAUUAAUUAUAGGAAUUCGGCAAGUUUAACUUUUGACUGUUUACCAAAAACAUUUCUGAGGGGAAGAUGUUUUUGGUCUAACCUGCUCAAUGCUUAAGUAAAUAGCUGCAGUAUUAUGACUGUACAAAGGUAGCAUAAUCACUAGUCUUUUAAUUGGAGGCUUGUAUGAAUGGUUGAACAGAAUGUUUACUUUCUUUAUUUAAUGAUAGUUGAAUUUUAAUUUUAUGUAAAAAUGCGUAAAUUUUAAAAAGGGACGAUAAGACCCUAUAGAAUUUAAAAUUGUGAGUGAAAAAGAAAUUUUUGGUUGGGGUGACUGAGAAUUAACUUUUUUUUAAAUAAUUUAUUGUAAAGUAAAUGUAUGAUCCUAAUUUUUAGAUAGUAAGAUUUAAUUACCUUAGGGAUAACAGCGUAAUUUUUCUUUUAAGGCCAUAUUUAUAGAAAAGAUUACGACCUCGAUGUUGAAUUAAAAUUAUUUUUUGGUGAAGAAGCUAAAAUUGUGAGUCUGUUCGACUUUAAUUUUUACAUGAUUUGAGUUCAGACCGGCGUGAGCCAGGUUGGUUUCUAUCUUUUUUAAUUCAAAUUUCUUUAGUACGAAAGGAUCAAUUAAUUUAAUUUUUAUUUAGUAGGUUUGAAUAACAUUAAAUCU